This 301-nucleotide ribosomal RNA is filed under the name uncultured bacterium. RNAcentral describes it as "partial 16S ribosomal RNA". It matches the Rfam family "Bacterial small subunit ribosomal RNA", at positions 509 to 807 of the family's 1533-position model. The record is from RNAcentral.
CAGUCGCCGCGGUAAUACGUAGGGUGCAAGCGUUAAUCGGAAUUACUGGCCGUAAAGCGUGCGCAGGCGGUUAUAUAAGUCAGAUGUGAAAUCCCCGGGCUCAACCUGGGAACUGCAUUUGAGGCUGUAUGGCUAGAGUGUGUCAGAGGGGGGUAGAAUUCCACGUGUAGCAGUGAAAUGCGUAGAUAUGUGGAGGAAUACCGAUGGCGAAGGCAGCCCCCUGGGAUAACACUGACGCUCAUGCACGAAAGCGUGGGGAGCAAACAGGAUUAGAUACCCCGGUAGUCCCUGUCUCUUAUAC